Molecule: transfer RNA, 69 nt
Filed under: Anabas testudineus (climbing perch)
Lineage: Eukaryota; Metazoa; Chordata; Actinopteri; Anabantiformes; Anabantidae
Description: tRNA-Met
Source: RNAcentral
AGUAAAGUCAGCUAAACAAGCUCUCGGGCCCAUACCCCGACAAUGAGGGUGAAACCCCUUCCUUUACUA